GACGAACGCUGGCGGCGUGCUUAACACAUGCAAGUCGAACGGAAAGGCCCUGCUUUUGUGGGGUGCUCGAGUGGCGAACGGGUGAGUAACACGUGAGUAACCUGCCCUUGACUUUGGGAUAACUUCAGGAAACUGGGGCUAAUACCGGAUAGGAGCUCCUGCUGCAUGGUGGGGGUUGGAAAGUUUCGGCGGUUGGGGAUGGACUGGCGGCUUAUCAGCUUGUUGGUGGGGUAGUGGCUUACCCAGGCUUUGACGGGUAGCCCGCCUGAGAGGGUGACCGGCGACAUUGGGACUAAGAUACGGCCCAGACGCCUACGGGAGACAGCAGGGGGGAAUAUGGCACAAUGGGCGGAAGCCUGAUGCAGAGACGCCGCGUGCGUGAUGACGGCCUUCGGGUUGUAAACCGCUUUCGCCUGUGACGAAGCGUGAGUGACGGUAAUAGGUAAAGAAGCACCGGCUAACUACGUG
RNAcentral lists this ribosomal RNA (468 nucleotides) under uncultured bacterium. RNAcentral describes it as "partial 16S ribosomal RNA". It matches the Rfam family "Bacterial small subunit ribosomal RNA", at positions 28 to 507 of the family's 1533-position model. The record is from RNAcentral.